ACAAACAGAACCCUGCUUCUUCUAUUCAGAGAAUUCAAUAUACCAUUUUGUUUUCAGUGAAUAUUCAAUGCAUUAACUUUGGGUUGAAUUGUUGCCUGCCCCAAAUAAAUUCCCCGUAACUUCAUGGUUCAAGAAACUAUCUUAGUCCAUGGAUGUGUUGUGGUCUUUAGAAAGUUCAGGUUAAAUAUCAACAAAACUAUGACACCGUACCUUUAAAUCUGAAAGAGUUGUAAGAUUGUUGUCUUUAUUCCACUGAUAAUCUUGAUUUCAAGCCAUGCUUCUAAUAUGGUCCUGUCUUUUUUGAGAAAUAUAGGCUAAGUGUCACUUGUUAUUGGACUGAAAAUGGCAACAUAUGGAAACCUUUACUUCAUUCAAAGUAAUUUUUUAAAAGUAUGACCUCCUUUCUCAGAAUAUGCAUAUCCAUCAAAAGAGGGUUCACCCCAUUGGCUGCCGCACUAUGUUUACCAAGUUUCCUAAUCUUCAGAGAUGAUUACAUUUGGGAAAGGAUGUGAAUGUCUUUUUAUUAAACGUGAGAGCAAUUGUGGGAUGCGAUUAUCCCAUUGAAAGGUAGCGACUAUUCUAUAUAAAUAGGUAUGUGAGUCUACACUUUUAAAAACGCUGGGCAAAAUGGUAUUGGGUAAACUCCUUUUGUGAAUUGUUGGUGCAUUAUUAGUCAACAAUUUAGCAAAUUUUGGGGUUGGGUAGGCCAAAAAAGUGACCAACGUUGGAUAACCUUUCAGGUACAAUAGUUGGAUAAAAAUUCCUUAAUUGAUAGGUUUUAUUUUUACGCUUGUUCUGCCCACCAAGUGUUGGGGAGAAAUUCGAGUAACAAACCCAACAGAUUAGUAUUAUUCGAUUGAACUGGAUGACGGGGCCUAGUUGCUGGGAACUUUUUCAUCAUGCACACGCGCAUUGGUGGUCUAAUCUAUUAUGCAUGCACAAUAUCUGUGGCGCAUGGCUAGUGUUGCAUACACAUCACGACAAUGGCGGCGGACCACGACCUCCUACAGUUGUUAGAUAAAUGGGGUUUGAGCCCCUUGAUGGACGUGUUCGUAGAUAAUGACAUCGACAUGGUGGCACUUGAGUUAUUGACAGAGGCAGACAUUGAGUAACUCAUUCCCAAAAUUGGUUUACGGGUCAAGUUUGUUGACAAAUGGAGGAAACAUAGCAAAAGUCAUCUUUGGCCUUACUCAUUUUGCCUGCCAUCUUUGAGGGGAGCUCCAAGAAGGGAAACUGCUGGGGGUAAAGGCACCAAGAGAGAUGUUGUUGGAAUGUUCAUUGACAGACAGCGGGUAAGUACAUGCCACAUUUUAAACCAGGAAUACUUGCUUCAGAUUUCUUCAUAUCUCUGUUACUUGGGUUUUCUAUGAGAUUUCUGUAUCUGCUCCAUGUGUAUGGCUUCAUCUUUUCUCUUGAACUAGAACGGCAAAGCCCCCCCUGGCUCGCUACUACAUAUAAAUCAAAACUGCUGUAUAUAGGCCUACUG
This is a long non-coding RNA of Acanthaster planci (crown-of-thorns starfish), 1486 nucleotides long. NCBI's taxonomy places the organism in Eukaryota, Metazoa, Echinodermata, Asteroidea, Valvatida, Acanthasteridae. The record is from RefSeq and is a predicted model, not a curated record.